ACCUUUAGAUUGUACUGCCUAGAAGGAAUAAUCACAGGGGGAAGAAAAAAUGGGUUAAUGGUGGAAACUUUAUUCUCAUCUGCAUUUGAAUCUUUGGAAUCCAACUGAAUGUAUUUAUAUGGUUCGCACCAUGUGUUUAUCCAUUUUCUUUUCACAAGUUCCCUGAAAUAGAACACUCUGGACUUGGAUGGCACCUUUAUUCACGUGAAGGAUUUUUCCAUCUGGAGGGAACUAUGAUGGAGGAAAUCAAAUGAUCGGUGUCUAAGGGAGACUGAGCAGAGGCCCAGGGACACAGCAAAUAUCAAGGUCAUCACACAAACAUCAACCCCACAGAGCCCCUAAAGCCCAGAAUCUGAAGAAGCAAAGGAACAAAAUGCCUUUAAAAGGACAUUCAUCACAUAUACUCCCCGCAAGAGUCUAUCAAAGGGCUCAUUUCCAUUGAUUUUGACAAGAGAUGCUACAAAGGCACUUCAGGUUUCCAAUGUAAUAGAAAUGAAACUAUUACAUUGGCAUUGUAAUGUACUUUCCCCUGAGCAUCACUGAAGUUGGGUGCCUCUUCAUAUGUCAAAUCAUUGUUUUUAUUUAUUUUACAGUGAAAUUUAAUUCCUUAUGUUCCAAAUAUUUUUAUUUGGUUGCUUCUAUUUUUUUCUCAUGACUGAGAAGCAAUUCAAAUAUACCUUAUAGUUGUGGUGUCUUUCCACAGCAUCCUUCCAAGCCAAGUGCUGUCCACAUGAUAAAUAAAAAAAAAAUCCCUCAAGGAUAUUUUCACAGGUCAUCCACACUCAAGACAGCUGAUGAGGAGGGCCGUCUGCCUUGCACGGCCCUACAUCAAGAGCUCUAUACAGGAGUUCCCGUCGUGGCGCAGUGGUUAACGAAUCCAACUAGGAACCAUGAGGUUGCGGGUUCGGUCCCUGCCCUUGCUCAGUGGGUUAACUAUCCGGCGUUGCCGUGAGCUGUGGUGUAGGUUGCAGAUGCGGCUCGGAUCCCGCGUUGCUGUGGCUCUGGCGUAGGCCGGUGGCUACAGCUCCAAUUCAACCCCUAGCCUGGGAACCUCCAUAUGCCACGGGAGCGGCCCAAGAAAUAGCAACAACAACAACAACAACAAAGACAAAAG
This 1114-nucleotide long non-coding RNA is filed under the name Sus scrofa (pig). Its description in RNAcentral is "lncRNA (ENSSSCG00055010523.1)". Lineage: Eukaryota; Metazoa; Chordata; Mammalia; Artiodactyla; Suidae. The record is from RNAcentral.